Molecule: unclassified non-coding RNA, 219 nt
Filed under: soil metagenome
Description: partial contains 5.8S ribosomal RNA, internal transcribed spacer 2, and large subunit ribosomal RNA
Source: RNAcentral
AAGACUAUAGACCUGCGGAGUACCUGCGGAGGGAUCAUUACUGAGUUUCACAACUCUCUAACCCUGUGUGAACUGAAGUCUGGUUGCUCAGGCAGGCGGCCCCCGGGGGGAGCCGCAGCUUCUCUGAAGCGCCUGCCGGAGGAUACCUAAACUCGUUUUAACAUAUAAUCUUCUGAGUAAUAAAAAAAAAUGAAUCAAAACUUUCAGCAACGGAUCUCU